AGAGUUUGAUCCUGGCUCAGAUUGAACGCUGGCGGCAUGCUUUACACAUGCAAGUCGAACGGUAACGCGGGGGCAACCCUGGCGACGAGUGGCGAACGGGUGAGUAAUACAUCGGAACAUAUCCAGUAGCGGGGGAUAACCUAUCGAAAGAUGGACUAAUACCGCAUACGAUCUACGGAUGAAAGCAGGGGACCGCAAGGCCUUGCACUAUUGGAGUGGCCGAUGUCGGAUUAGCUAGUUGGUGAGGUAAAGGCUUACCAAGGCGACGAUCCGUAGCUGGUCUGAGAGGACGAUCAGCCACACUGGAACUGAGACACGGUCCAGACUCCUACGGGAGGCAGCAGUGGGGAAUUUUGGACAAUGGGCGCAAGCCUGAUCCAGCCAUGCCGCGUGAGUGAAGAAGGCCUUCGGGUUGUAAAGCUCUUUCGGUGAAGACGAAACGGUUCGUGCUAAUAACGCGGACUAAUGACGGUACUCACAGAAGAAGCACCGGCUAACUACGUGCCAGCAGCCGCGGUAAUACGUAGGGUGCAGGCGUUAAUCGGAAUUACUGGGCGUAAAGCGUGCGCAGGCGGUUUGCUAAGACAGGUGUGAAAUCCCCGGGCUUAACCUGGGAAUUGCGCUUGUAACUGGCAAGCUAGAGUGUGGCAGAGGGGGGUGAAUUCCACGUGUAGCAGUGAAAUGCGUAGAUAUGUGGAGGAACACCGAUGGCGAAGGCAGCCCCCUGGGUUAACACUGACGCUCAUGCACGAAAGCGUGGGGAGCAAACAGGAUUAGAUACCCUGGUAGUCCACGCCCUAAACUAUGUCAACUAGUUGUCGGGGAAGAAAUUCCUUGGUAGCGAAGCUAACGCGUGAAGUUGACCGCCUGGGGAGUACGGCCGCAAGGUUAAAACUCAAAGGAAUUGACGGGGACCCGCACAAGCGGUGGAUUAUGUGGAUUAAUUCGAUGCAACGCGAAAAACCUUACCUACCCUUGACAUGCUAGGAAGCCCGCAGAGAUGUGGGUGUGCCCGAAAGGGAACCUAGACACAGGUGCUGCAUGGCUGUCGUCAGCUCGUGUCGUGAGAUGUUGGGUUAAGUCCCGCAACGAGCGCAACCCUUGUCAUUAGUUGCUACAUUCAGUUGGGCACUCUAAUGGGACCGCCGGUGACAAACCGGAGGAAGGUGGGGAUGACGUCAAGUCCUCAUGGCCCUUAUGGGUAGGGCUUCACACGUAAUACAAUGGUCGGUACAGAGGGCUGCCAACCCGCAAGGGGGAGCUAAUCCCAGAAAGCCGAUCGUAGUCCGGAUUGUAGUCUGCAACUCGACUGCAUGAAGCCGGAAUCGCUAGUAAUCGCGGAUCAGCAUGUCGCGGUGAAUACGUUCCCGGGUCUUGUACACACCGCCCGUCACACCAUGGGAGUGGGUUCCACCAGAAGUAGUUAGCCUAACCGCAAGGAGGGCGAUUACCACGGUGAGAUUCAUGACUGGGGUGAAGUCGUAACAAGGUA
RNAcentral lists this ribosomal RNA (1492 nucleotides) under metagenome. RNAcentral's name for it is "bacterial SSU rRNA". It matches the Rfam family "Bacterial small subunit ribosomal RNA". The record is from RNAcentral.